This is a long non-coding RNA of Magallana angulata, 707 nucleotides long. RefSeq lists it as uncharacterized. Lineage: Eukaryota; Metazoa; Mollusca; Bivalvia; Ostreida; Ostreidae. The record is from RefSeq and is a predicted model, not a curated record. The transcript is spliced from 4 exons.
AUCGAUGCACAUCGGAAUGAGAAGGAGGCCAUCUCACAUCCGCGUAGAGUGAUUUCAUUCCCUCACGAUCAGGCGUGAAUCUAAUGCCUGUUCUUCAUAGGCGUGUAUAUAUAUAAAGCCCUGCACGCCUCUUCUUCGUCCACUUAGCUUCGCACUCCAUCAGCUGGUUGCCAACAGUCUAAGCCGUCAGUAUGGAAACUAAGAUCAUCUGCUUGGCUCUAGCCUUUCUGCUAGUCGCUAUGGAAAUAAAUGCAGUACCUAUGCGGCGAAGUCUUUCAUCGGAAGAUCCAUGGAUCUCGUCUGCUGACAAGCGGGCCAAAAACAGAAUGAUCGUUAUGAUGUCCCGAUGUCUGAGAUACUUGUAUGAAAAAAGACCACCCUCACCCGAAUGCAUGCAACAUUUCAUGUCUCUUAGACCAGGUGGCAGUCCUGUUAUCAACAUGAGUUAAAAACGGACUCUUCAAAACCUUUCAUUUUUUUCUUUGAUUUAUCUUUAUAAAAAAAACAAUAUUUGGAUAAAUGGCGGAUGGAGUGAAUCAAAAUGGAACAGUGUUUGGAAGUGGUCUUGGCAGAGAUGAACUUUUAUACUUCAUCAUCCCUUAUUUCUUGAUUUUUUAAAUUGUCUCUCUGUCUCUAUUUAUGCUUUCGAUUCAGUGGCUUGUUCUUGACACAAAACGAGAUGAGAUGAAUAAAAAUACAAAAAACUU